GGGCUCACCUAUGGCUCAGUGGCAGGGCAUCUGCUUGGGAUGCAGGAGACCCCAGGUUCGAUCCCUCGUGUCUCCA
Molecule: transfer RNA, 76 nt
Filed under: Sphaerodactylus townsendi
Lineage: Eukaryota; Metazoa; Chordata; Lepidosauria; Squamata; Sphaerodactylidae
Description: tRNA-Pro
Rfam family: tRNA (bases 10-70)
About the family: Transfer RNA (tRNA) molecules are approximately 80 nucleotides in length. Their secondary structure includes four short double-helical elements and three loops (D, anti-codon, and T loops).
Source: RNAcentral